AGAAAAAGAAGUAUGAGAUAAGAGAGGAGAGUAAGUGAUUAGAGGAGAUGCAAAUAUUUUCAUUUAAGUCUGAAAAUGUUUGAUCCAUUGACAAACUUCACUAUUAUAUGGGUUUAGGAGCCUUGGUAUAAUUAAUGAAGAAAAUGAUUCCCAAGAGUAAUCUCCUAAUGAAUUAAUAUAUCUUUUAGAAAUCUAAAAUGUGACUUAGAAUUUUUAGACCAACUAAUCUAAAGUAUAAUCGAUGACAGUUUGAAAUAAGCUUUUUCUGGUGGAGAGAUUGACUGGGUUAUUGUAUGCAAAUUUUGCAUCGAGUAAGGUUAAGUCUCAGUUUUUCGAGUUUCUCCCCAACUAAACAUCUAAGGAGAUUCUCAAGGAAUGGUUAACAACCUCAGUUUAACCAUCAAUUUGGGGGUAAAAGGCUAAAGAGAACUUCAAUGUUGUGUCAAACAGUUUCCACAGUUUUUCAAAAGUUGAUAAAUUUCACAUCCCUAUCAGAUACCAUGGUUAAGGCAAGCCAUGUAAUUUAACCACUUCUCGAAAUAACAAUUUAGCAAUAUGUGAGACGUCGUUGGUCUUGUCACAUGAGAUAAAGUGAGUCAUUUUGUAAAAUUGAUCAAUAACAACAAGAACAAAGUCAUCUCCACAGGCUAUUUUGGGAAGCCUAAGAACAAAAUCUAAACUCACAUCUUGCAAUGGUAAUUACAGAAUGGGUAAUGGAGUGUAUAUGCAAGUAUUGUGUUUGCGAGUUUUGGCAAUUUGACAAGUGCCACUCCGACACACUCGAGCAACAUCUUGCUUUAAGGAAGACCGAUAAAAUCUAUCCUCGAUUAAUGCAAUGGUCCUGUCUUGACCUAGGUGACAUGUUAAUCCACCCACGUGCAUUUCCCAAACAAAUGUCUCGAAGGGAGGAUCGAGGAAUACACAAUCUAGUGGGUCGAAAAAGGUUACCACCCUUAGGAAUGAAGUUCGUAUAUUCAUGACGGUUUCCAUCUUGGACUUCUCGAUAUAUGUGACUAAAGUCUAGACAUUGGGUAUACUCUUUCUUUUAAUUGCUCGAAUCCUAUGACCUUGACACUCAUGGUAAAUAGGAUUAUAGAAUUUUAUUAAGGACAUCAACAGCUUUAUUUUGAGUACCAGAACAAAGCUUAAUUACAAAAGAUUUAGGAUCCAGUAAGUGAAGUCCCUUGGUUGUUGGGGCUUGUGGAUGAGAUUUGGAUGUUCUUGAUUUGACCUUUUCUGGCGGUUUUGUUUGUCGCAGAAUAAUGUUUUUACCUUUGUAUGGAAAGAUAGGUGUUUUCUCUUCCAUGGUUGGUAACAUCAAGGUCAUACAACCAAGGUCGACCUAAAAGACUGUAGGCAACAUCUAAUGGUAGAACGUCACAAUAAAUCUCAUCUUACCCAUUUUAAUGGGUACUAGGCAUCUCUCAGUCACGGGAAGUGUGGUUUUUUCAACCCAAGCUAGUUUGAAUGGAAUCGGGUGUGAUUCUACCUUAAUGUUUAAUCUCUUGAUAGCAAAUUUUAGACUAAGUUCAUAGUGAUAGUGUGAAACCCCCAUCAAUAACCAAUUUGUAAGUUUUUUCAUGCUUCGAAUAAAAGUAUGGAAGAUACUUAUCCUCUUCCAUUCAUUGGAAUCACUAGCAGUAGAGAGAAUUAUGCGAACAACAUUAACAUGAGCACCUUCAAUUACUAGUUCGUUUUCGUCACCUAAGUAGGCUUCCGAUUCAACUACUUGGUUUACUCCCUCGAUUUGAUCCUUUGGUUAUUGUUUUAAGGUAAGGGUACAUUGAGGACGAGAGGCCAAGUGACCUCUAUUAUGGUAAUAAUAACACUAGAAUGAAAACGAACUAGUUUGAGAAUCAGUAGUUGAAUGAGUUUGACAAUUCAUGGAAUUUUUUACUUGACAGAGCCACUAUUUGGGGUAGAUUAGGUAAUAGUUCUAUUGUCAAGAAACUGAGACGAUGCUUGACGAAUUGGAUAAGAUUUGAUGUCCUUAAUCUCAAGGGCUCAUCGGGAAGUUUCCUCCAUGGUGUCAAGGAAACUAAGGGAGACUUCCAGUUGGAUGUCAAACCUCAACCCAAAAACAAAUCUUCGAACAAUGAUAAUUUGGUCCUUUUCUAUUUCACACCUAAGUAAAAGUUUCUUAAAUUGGGGCAAAUACUCUACCGCACUAGAAUUCAACUAUUUAAGGUUUAACAAUUUUUCAACUAAUUGGCUUCGAAAGUAGGUUAUUAAAUAUUUUUCCUUAAAAGUUUUUAUUUCAUGACUUCCUAUUGAGUGAUGAGAGGCUCUCGACGGUGUUCGAGACUACGUUGGACAUGUUGUCAAUAUUUCCAAACGGAGCCUAUUAGUUUCAUUUUUGCAAAUCGUACACAUUCAAUAUUAAUCAUUCCAUACCACUCAAAGUAGUCUUCCAUGCUAUAUAACCGAUCAACACACACAGGGUCAAACCUACUGUCAAAGUCCAACACAUCCACUUUAACUCUUCUAGCCAUUUCUCUCAUAUUGUCAACAAGUCGAACUCGUUGACCCAUUACUCAGGUUUGUGGAUUUCUAUAGGUUCUAGGAAUUCAUCAUUAAGAUCAAAAGCUUGGCCAUCAAGAAUUAUUGGAGCAUGAUUGUGAAUAGGUGCCCUAUAGGUGGACCUAGGAUUUGUUUGAACUAGGGCUUGGGAAGUAGGUAAAAUUCCUUAAUUUGAAGCUACGAAUUGGGGAGAAUAGACAUGUUAACUAACCGACUCAUCAAUCUCCUCAUUCAUGGGUCGUUUUUCAAAAUGUUAGAAAGCUCUUACGACUUGAGUUAUUUGGUCACAUAACUAAUUCAAUAUUGUGUCAUGAUCUGCUAGCUUGGUCUUUAAGGGUGUCUACCUUACUCUGUUGGUUUAGGGACUCAUCAUGAUUGAUUUGCUUUUCACCUCGUCGAGUCAUGAUUCUAAUGCUAUCGACAAAUUACUUUUUGGUAAUGAGAUUAUUAAUUAUUGUAAUGCACAAGAUAGAAAUGUAAAGUUUCAAAUGGUUUUCAUUUUUUUCACUUUUUGUCUUUUUUUUUUAUAACUUUCAAGGGUUCAAAUUUUAGUGGUACUGUAGUUGCAGCUAAAGGGGUGAGGGAAGAUGAUAAAUUUAAGAAAAAAAAAAGAAGAAGAAAACAAGGGGAGAAGUGAUGAAAAUUAUGAUCCGAUGAAAAAUAUAAUUUUUCAAUCCAAUAAAAAAUAUUAGUAAAGUUUUCAAAAUUUUACUCGAUAAUAAGAGUUAUAUGGUCCAAUUCCACAUGGGACAGUCAUCCUAAGGACCAACUCCACACGCAAGGGAUUGACAUUGGAGGUGCAAGGAUCCUUGAGUGUUGAUCGAACCUUUUGAUGCUAGUUGGAACCUAAUGGGGUAUAAGGCAAGUUUGUUGAUAUCCUCUAAUACCGAAUUGAUGUAGAACAGAAUAGGGAAAUAGAGAGAGAAGUGUGAGAUAACAGAGGGGAAUAAAAUACUAGAGAAGAUACAAUUCUUUUCAUUCAAAUCUGAAAAUAUUUGAUCCACUAACAAGUUCCACUAUUUAUAGGGGUUUAGAAGCCUUGAAACAAUUAAUAAGCCAA
This 3580-nucleotide long non-coding RNA is filed under the name Musa acuminata (dwarf banana). RNAcentral's name for it is "long non-coding RNA (MACU_LNC002353)". The record is from RNAcentral. Lineage: Eukaryota; Viridiplantae; Streptophyta; Magnoliopsida; Zingiberales; Musaceae.